Panicum virgatum (switchgrass) is the source of this 1312-nucleotide long non-coding RNA. RefSeq lists it as uncharacterized. The record is from RefSeq and is a predicted model, not a curated record. The transcript has 2 exons. NCBI's taxonomy places the organism in Eukaryota, Viridiplantae, Streptophyta, Magnoliopsida, Poales, Poaceae.
CGAGCGCGCUACAAGCCGGGCAGGGAGGGGGGACUGCAGGAGGAGGAAGACGAAGGUGAAACAAGCAAGGAUGGAAGUUCGUUGCAACCGAUUCUUGCAACCAAAAAGAAAACAACCCAUGUCAUAAACUGUCCGUUUCUUCAGAUGAAAUUGAUUCGGAGUGCUCCUGAGUCCAGAUGAGAUGAGGCUGCCGUCACCAAUUCGAUUGCCAUGUAUGUAUUCCAAUGAGGGUGCAGCUAGCAAUCAUCCAUGCUCGGAUUAUUCGAUUCACUUCAGAUGCCCACUGCACUACACUACUUGCAAACCAACACUGCAACUUGCAGGUUGGAGCCUCAAUGUGAUUAUGAUAACAAGGGCCAAAGCAGCAUUGUAAGGCGGGCCUUGCAUCUUUCUGGAGAUACAUGACGUACAAAAACUCAUCACCAUCCAAAAGGUAAGAGAAUAGCAUCAAUUUUUAUUUCUUCCCCCCAAUAGAGGCAAUAUGAUGACUAAAACUUGUCAAAACACCAAUAAUUAAUGAUGACCACACUCAGCUGACAUUAGAAUAUACACCAACAUUAUACAUAUAUCUCUGGUCCACUAAUAGCUAGCAGCAUCUGAUUCCAAACCAUGAUUAUCAUAAUUCCUAACUAAAGGCAAUCCAGUAACUCACCUAAUCUCUAGUGGAUGCGAAAAUGCCCUUCACAACCAACCUGGAAUUCAGAUGCGGAGACUUUCAACCCCGGAGAAAUUUUCCCAGAAAGGAAAAGGAAAGGCAAAAGGCAGUCCUGGAUUCCAUAUUCCAGUUUGUAGUUCCUAACUGAAAGCAGCACUAGUAUAUCUAAUAGUCAUAGACUCAUAUAGUAGCUCCCAAAAUAUAAAAAAAGCAAAUUAUAUGAUACUCAUAAUGCAAAGUCAAUGUCGCUUUGGGUAACCGAAAGCAUGCAGCCCUUGUUUUUUUGCCUCUAUCCAGAAAUAUGAAAUGCAGGUCACUUUGAUUUUUGCUCCACUGUGUUGGCAACUUGAAGGGGACCUACAUCAUCAAAUCGAUCUUGGAGCUGAAAUGCAGGGCAAAACUAUGAUGAUGAACCACAGUUUGGAGUAUUUAUGGGUCUAGUAUCCGUCCGUCUAUGGGAGCUGAAAUAUGCACAUGCAUCAGGCUUCAAUGUUCCAUCCAGGAGCUAGGAGAGGGAAAAGAAUACCAAAUCUGUUGUCGCAUGACCCCAGCAUAUAUACGAUAUGUAGUGGAGAAGUGCUAUUAACUUCUUGAGCAAAUAUGAAUGUAUAUGAUACAAAGUCAUGUCAAAUUUCAACCAAUUUUUGGCGAGCAUUA